RNAcentral lists this ribosomal RNA (1175 nucleotides) under Ozobranchus jantseanus. RNAcentral describes it as "16S ribosomal RNA". The stretch from base 744 to 1175 matches the Rfam family "Bacterial large subunit ribosomal RNA", at positions 2047 to 2747 of the family's 2925-position model. Lineage: Eukaryota; Metazoa; Annelida; Clitellata; Hirudinida; Ozobranchidae. The record is from RNAcentral.
AAUGAAUAAAUAAAUAUUACAUAAAUUAUUUAAAUAUAAAAUUAAGAAAAUAUAUUAAAACAACGUAGUACAGCAAUGGAACAUAUUAAUUUUAAAAGUAGUAAAAAACGUACCUUUUGCAUUAUGGGUUUACAAGAAACAAAUUAAAUAUUAAAUUCCCGAAUUCUUUGUGAGCUGUAAUAUAACUGUUUGGAACUAAAAGAAUAAUGUUUCACUAUUAUCUCAAGAUUAUUUUACAGAGGCUACAUACCUACCGCACAAGAAUAUUGCUGGUUCUCUUUUAAAAUUAUAUAUUAAAACAACUAAUUUAGUGUGUAAGUUAAUAGAUGAUUAGGUCUAUUAAAAUAUCCUAUAUAAACUUUUACAUGAAUAAAAAAAUAGUAGGCUUAGAAAUAGCCAUCAAUAAGUAUGUUAUAAUUACAUAAAUUUCACAAAUAGAUAAAAUAUUAUGGAUAAAUUUAAAAGAGUAUUUAAUUAAAUUAUAAUAUUAAUUUAAUUCUGUAAACAUGAGUAUGAAUUUAACUAUAUUUAAGGAACUCGGCAAAUAUUUAUUUCAACUGUUUAACAAAAACAUUUCUUUUAGAAAAAAAAUUAAAAGUAGGCCCUGCCCAAUGAUGUAAAAUUAAAUGGCCGCGGUAUACUAACCGUGCAAAGGUAGCAUAAUAACUUGUUUAUUAAUUGUAAACUAGAAUGAAGGGGUUAAUGAAAUAAAUACUGUCUCAAAUAUACUAAUAAAAAUUAUCCUUUAGGUGAAGAGACCUAAAUAAAAAUGAAAGACAAGAAGACCCUAUAGAGCUUUACUUUUAAAAAGAAUUAUUCUUAAUAAAGUUUGGUUGGGGCGACCUAGGAAUAUAUAACAUCCUAUAAAUAAUUAGACUAAUUAGUCAAAGAUUUGAUCCUUAAAUGAUCACAAAAUUAAGUUACCUUAGGGAUAACAGGCUAAUACUUUUCAAGAGUCCUUAUCUAAAAAAGUGUUUGGCACCUCGAUGUUGGCUUAGGGAUACUUUAAGGCGCAGAAGUUUUAAAAGUAGGUUUGUUCAACCUUUAAAUCCCUACAUGAGUUGAGUUCAGACCGGCGUAAGCCAGGUUAGAUUCUAUCUUCAUUACUACCAUUUAUAGUACGAAAGGACCUAAAUGGCUUUAACAUUAAAGAUUUAAAUUAAAAUUUUUAAAAA